UUGCGUAGGUGGUUUAUCAAGUGAACAGUGAAAGCCGAUGGCUCAACCAUUCGGACUAUUAUUCAAACUGGUAAACUCGAGAGUAGCAGAGGUAACUGGAAUUUCUUGUGUAGGAGUGAAAUCCGUAGAUAUAAGAAGGAACACCAAUGGCGUAGGCAGGUUACUGGGCUAUUUCUGACACUAAGGCACGAAAGCGUGGGGAGCGAACG
This 209-nucleotide ribosomal RNA is filed under the name uncultured bacterium. Its description in RNAcentral is "partial 16S ribosomal RNA". It matches the Rfam family "Bacterial small subunit ribosomal RNA", at positions 567 to 774 of the family's 1533-position model. The record is from RNAcentral.